AAUUAUAGUAAAAUUGACAGACCUUGUAAGCUACUCAAAAUCUACUCUAUGUAUAUUACACUUUUGCUCAAGUUAGUCAGAAUCUGUUUCUGUUGUUUGCAAUUAAAUGCUUUACUUGAAACAGCACCUUAGUGUUGAAGAAAUCUCUACGUCUGCAAGUAAUUACCUGUAAAUCUCAGGAGAAAUUAUUUAAAGUAGCUGGACCUCAGUUAUCACAAAAAAAAUUGAAAAGAUUACACUAAAUUAUUCCUAAGAGCUUAUAAUUCUAUGUAUGCCAUAAAAUGGCUAACAUAUUUCUAUCUUAUUUCUCAAUACUAAGCAAAAAAAGAUCACUGUCAGACAGUGGUGGUUGAUAUUUUCCCAGUAAAAACUGAAUUUUCAAGGUAGGUUCUGCUUUUUGCUCCAGCUAUUCCCCCACUCACUCCUUUGGCUCCUUGAUAAUGUUUAACAUUAUCUGUAUAUUCCAACAGACAAAAAUCCCUCUAAGGUCUUCAGCAUAACUCUUUUAAUCUCACUGCUAUGAAAAGGCACAUCAAAAGAAAUGGUCGAGACAAGGCUCAAAAUUUUUGCAUCUAAGUUUCACAACUAAAUAUUUGGAUUGUGGUAUAAGGAUUCCUCGAGGGCACUUUAAAAGUCCCUCUUGUGAUUCAAAGGUCUGGGUAAUAAUUUGCCUGAAGAAAGCUUAGCUUUCUUCCUUGUCUAGACAAGUUUGUGCAACAGCUUUUCCCUUCUAAAAAACAACAAUUGUGUUUCCAUUUUUUGUCUUACAGAGCUAUGUUUUAAAUUACUAACAAUAAUAAUGAAAAUACAAAAGAUUUUUUAAGUAUUUCAUCCAGAAGCUACACAAGCAUGAUGUUGAGGAAGUUUGAGAAGUUUAUUAGGUCAAUCUAGGCCCUAAUAUACUCAGAUUAUUGAUUUAAACCUGUAGGUGCAAUAAAUCACACAGGUCAUGGAGGCGGCACCAGCUGAAAGUGAGAACACAGAUCAAUUAUAUGAGAGUUUUGGGCUUUCUCACUGGCUUGCCAUUAUAAAAUCGCUUUCUUGGUUCUAUCUCAAACAUCAGGCUGCCUUUUAUAUAUAUAAAACUUUGGUCACCAAGAACAAUCAUGAUUGCAGAGUGGUUACAGCUUGGCUCUGGUGUCAGAGCACUUGGGUUCUAGUCUAGUAUCCACCCAAGGAAUGUUGCUUGGCGUCACAAUGCCUUGGUUUCCUCAUCUGUAAAGUAAGGAAAAUAAGAGUGUUUUGCAAAAUCUAACAGAUGUACCACUGGUAAUAUAACAGAUGAUAUUUGAUUGUAGGUGAGUAGCUUUCUUUUUCUUUUAAUAAUUAUUGGUUUGAUUCUAAGCAUAUUUAAAAAUAUAUAAUUAGCACAACAAGCUAACUAACAUAAUUGCUUAGACCAAACCUAAGUUCAGGAAAAGAAAAUCUGGGCUCCAAAGAGUUUGGAGAGAAAGUUUAUGAGAGAAAGUAUUUCACAGAAAUAGUCUAGUUCAUAAAUAUGAGAUAACAGAAUUAGAAAGUCAUCACUUUUGCAGUCAUGUAAUGAAAUGAUUGUUUCAGAAAACAUUCAUCAAUAAAAAUGAUCAUUGUGUGAAAAAUAAAUGGGAAACUUUACUAUGGAAUGGUAAGGCUGUUACCUGACAAACCCAUUUAUGAAUCUUAGCAUCACUUAAAAGUGCUUCCAAACUAUGAAUGCCAUGCCUCCUGAUAAAGCAGUAGGCGCACCGCUGACGAAGCACUCUUGCCAAGAACACUUACUUUAAAUAAAGUCUAGAGAUAACUUCAGUAUAAGAAAUAAGAGGGACAGAGGAACAAGUUGGAAAACGCCAUAAGAAACCAACAUGGAAGACACUUCCACAGGCCAAGGGAUCCUGUUUCUGCAACAACGCUCUAGCAGUAAUGGAGGCAGGAUUUCUUUGGAUUAGGAGAGUCUAAAGGGACAUAUGUCAUGUAACAUACAGACCUCGUUUGGAUUUGAUAAAAAUAAAAAAUAGAAAAGCAGUAAAUGACAUUUUCAAGUCAAUUGAGGAUGUUUGUGAAAUGAGAUUAUGUAAUAUCAAACAAUCACUGUUUUUUGCUAGAUGUGAUAAUGUGGCUAAGUACAAAAAUGCCCAUGUUUUUUAGAGCUGCACUCUGAAGUAUAUCAGAGUAAAAAAUGAAGUAAUGUCUGGGAUUUUCUUUAAAAUACUUCAAAAGAAAGAGAGUAAGAGAGAUAAAGAAAGGGGCAGGGGAAGAAAAAUGAUAAAAGAAUAGAUGAAGAAAGUAGAACAGAAAUCUUGAUAAUUAUUGUCUGUGGCUCAGGGGGUUAGGAACCUGACUAAUAUCCAUGAGGAUGCGGGUUUGAUCCUUGGCCUUGCUCAGUGGGUUAAGGAUCCAGUGCUGCUUCAAGCUGCGGUGUAUGUCACAGAUGUGGCUUGGAUCCCAUAUUGCUGUGGCUGUGGUACAGACCAGCAGCUGCAGCUCUGAUAUGACCCCUAGCCUGGGAACUUCCAUAUGCCACAGGCACAGUCCUAAAAAGAAGAAU
Molecule: long non-coding RNA, 2524 nt
Filed under: Sus scrofa (pig)
Lineage: Eukaryota; Metazoa; Chordata; Mammalia; Artiodactyla; Suidae
Description: lncRNA (ENSSSCG00000047506.1)
Source: RNAcentral